UGAGGAAUAUUGGACAAUGGGCGCAAGCCUGAUCCAGCCAUGCCGCGUGCAGGAUGACGGUCCUAUGGAUUGUAAACUGCUUUUGUACAGGAAGAAACAGUUCUACGUGUAGAACCCUGACGGUACUGUAAGAAUAAGGAUCGGCUAACUCCGUGCCAGCAGCCGCGGUAAUACGGAGGAUCCAAGCGUUAUCCGGAAUCAUUGGGUUUAAAGGGUCCGUAGGCGGUUAGAUAAGUCAGUGGUGAAAGCCCAUCGCUCAACGGUGGAACGGCCAUUGAUACUGUCUGACUUGAAUUAUUAGGAAGUAACUAGAAUAUGUAGUGUAGCGGUGAAAUGCUUAGAGAUUACAUGGAAUACCAAUUGCGAAGGCAGGUUACUACUAAUGGAUUGACGCUGAUGGACGAAAGCGUGGGUAGCGAACAGGAUUAGAUACCCAAGUAGUCCCUGAGCGGGCUGGCAAGGCGCAU
This 467-nucleotide ribosomal RNA is filed under the name uncultured bacterium. RNAcentral's name for it is "bacterial SSU rRNA". It matches the Rfam family "Bacterial small subunit ribosomal RNA", at positions 355 to 825 of the family's 1533-position model. The record is from RNAcentral.